UUCGUCGUAGCAUUAUCAUGCUAGUCGCCGGCAGCAUGAUCUAGCUUGCUAGAUUGAUGGCGAGUGGCGAACGGGUGAGUAAUACAUCGGAACGUGCCCUGUAGUGGGGGAUAACUAGUCGAAAGAUUAGCUAAUACCGCAUACGACCUGAGGGUGAAAGUGGGGGACCGCAAGGCCUCAUGCUAUAGGAGCGGCCGAUGUCUGAUUAGCUAGUUGGUGAGGUAAAGGCUCACCAAGGCGACGAUCAGUAGCUGGUCUGAGAGGCGUCCAGCUCUGCUGGGACUGAGACACGGCCCAGACUCCUACGGGAGGCAGCAGUGGGGAAUUUUGGACAAUGGGCGAAAGCCUGAUCCAGCAAUGCCGCGUAUGUGAAGAAGGCCUUCGGGUUGUAAAGCACUUUUGUCCGGAAAGAAAUGGCUCUGGUUAAUACCUGGGGUCGAUGACGGUACCGGAAGAAUAAGGACCGGCUAACUACGUGCCAGCAGCCGCGGUAAUACGUAGGGUCCAAGCGUUAAUCGGAAUUACUGGGCGUAAAGCGUGCGCAGGCGGUUGUGCAAGACCGAUGUGAAAUCCCCGAGCUUAACUUGGGAAUUGCAUUGGUGACUGCACGGCUAGAGUGUGUCAGAGGGGGGUAGAAUUCCACGUGUAGCAGUGAAAUGCGUAGAGAUGUGGAGGAAUACCGAUGGCGAAGGCAGCCCCCUGGGAUAACACUGACGCUCAUGCACGAAAGCGUGGGGAGCAAACAGGAUUAGAUACCCUGGUAGUCCACGCCCUAAACGAUGUCAACUAGUUGUUGGGGAUUCAUUUCCUUAGUAACGUAGCUAACGCGUGAAGUUGACCGCCUGGGGAGUACGGUCGCAAGAUUAAACUCAGAGAUUUAGUAUGGAGAGAGA
Molecule: ribosomal RNA, 893 nt
Filed under: Ralstonia sp.
Lineage: Bacteria; Pseudomonadati; Pseudomonadota; Betaproteobacteria; Burkholderiales; Burkholderiaceae
Description: bacterial SSU rRNA
Rfam family: Bacterial small subunit ribosomal RNA
Source: RNAcentral